This 1378-nucleotide long non-coding RNA is filed under the name Gallus gallus (chicken). RNAcentral's name for it is "long non-coding RNA NONGGAT003609". Lineage: Eukaryota; Metazoa; Chordata; Aves; Galliformes; Phasianidae. The record is from RNAcentral.
UUCAGAUCAAAAGCCAAAUCUUUGGUGUUUGUGAGGAAAAAAAAUGCCCAGCAGCCGUCCUGCAGCACAUCAGUGCUUUGUCUGACUGCGGUGUGAAGGUGUUGCUCGGGACCAGGGACACUUGGACUGGUUGGUGCUACACACUCUUAGGCUACACCAUGAACAGCCUUCAUUUUCCCCUUAAGGAAUGCUGACCUUCCAGCUCCUUCCCACUGCUCCCUGUACCAAGGAGACACUUUGUUGAUGCGAGGAGUGGUGAGCAUAUUGAAGACUGACAGGAGAAAUCGCUUUGUGUCUCAAAGCACACACUGGGCCCAGCAGUCCUUGGUGGUGACUGGCAGCCUGGAGACGUCAGGCAGCAUCAGGACCCACUGGCUGCUGUGUUGCUGUGACCUCUGGAACGAGCAAACAGCUCCCACCUUCCUCCUCCAUCCCAGAGCACCCUGCAGGAGCCGCUGUUCUCUUGUACAGCUCUGUAAGAUGUGAGCAAGCAGAGGAGCAGCACCUUGAAGGAACAUCCAGACACAGCCUUCCUGCUUCCUGACCUCAGCACAGGGAUGCUGAUCUCUGCAAUGCCCUGUCCUUGUCCCCAGGCUCCUCCAGCCCCUUCUUCCAGCCCAGCCCCUCUCACUUGCAGCUCAGCAGUGGUGAGUUAAAAGAAAACUGUGGCAAAUUAAUCUGAAAAGGGAGAGCAGCCUUUGCAGUAGCUGAGGAAUACCUCUCUUAUCUGCACUGUCUGAGGCUGCAGAGCCACUGGGAAUUCAGAUUGGUCUUCACGUCUGAUGCGCUGCUGGGAAAUGCAUUCUGGAUGUUGAGUUUAAACAUGUCUCCAGAGGCAGCACUUGGCUGGCUGGGUGCCUGCUGCACUGCUUCCCAGCUACAUCACUUGGGUCUGGAUUUAAUACCGAGUACAUUCUACUGGUUCCUUUUUAUAGCAGCUGGCAAUAAACACAUCAUGUUACGGCUUUAUUUUGGCUACAGAUUAAUUGUAGAGAAUGUAAUUGCUUCCCCAUUUGAAGCCAGGGGGAAGCCCACAGAGUAGGUCAUCAGCUUCUUGGAGCAUCACCUGGGAGAUGGUCUUUAACAUUUGUUUGUUUUUCUAUAAGUAGGUGAGGAUUAAAAAUCAAAAGCAUCCUGCAACAACUACUCCUCUACCUAGGAAAGCACCAAGUCACUCCUGGUUCUACCGCUGUGAUGAGCAAAGGAAACCUUGAGGGAUAGGUUCGGACUUGUUACACUUAGCACUGCUCCCUUCCUCUUUUAGCUAGUAGGCAAUUAUCAGAUCCGAUCAACAGAAACAGACCUUUCCCAGAGCACAGCUCUUGUGCAGUGUUCUGCAGGUUUGGCCAACUGCACGCCUUCGGUGCUUCAGAUCCAU